GACAACUAUUGGAAACGAUAGCUAAUACCGGAUAACAGCAUUAACUGCAUGGUUGAUGUUUAAAAGUUGGUUUUGCUAACACUAUGAGAUGGCUUUGCGGUGCAUUAGCUAGUUGGUGGGGUAAAGGCCUACCAAGGCGACGAUGCAUAGCCGACCUGAGAGGGUGAUCGGCCACACUGGGACUGAGACACGGCCCAGACUCCUACGGGAGGCAGCAGUAGGGAAUCUUCCGCAAUGGGCGAAAGCCUGACGGAGCAACGCCGCGUGAGUGAAGAAGGAUUUCGGUUCGUAAAGCUCUGUUGUUAGGGAAGAAUGAUUGUGUAGUAACUGUACACAGUAGAGACGGUACCUAACCAGAAAGCCACGGCUAACUACGUGCCAGCAGCCGCGGUAAUACGUAGGUGGCAAGCGUUGUCCGGAAUUAUUGGGCGUAAAGCGCGCGCAGGUGGUUUAAUAAGUCUGAUGUGAAAGCCCACGGCUCAACCGUGGAGGGUCAUUGGAAACUGUUAAACUUGAGUGCAGGAGAGAAAAGUGGAAUUCCUAGUGUAGCGGUGAA
Molecule: ribosomal RNA, 556 nt
Filed under: Streptococcus pneumoniae
Lineage: Bacteria; Bacillati; Bacillota; Bacilli; Lactobacillales; Streptococcaceae
Description: bacterial SSU rRNA
Rfam family: Bacterial small subunit ribosomal RNA
Source: RNAcentral